GAGAGAGAGUCGUAGGGAGAGAGAAAGAAAGGACUGUCGGCCAUGGUGGUGGUCGACGACGGCCAUGGCGGCGCGUGGCGGUCAAUAGCGGCAACAACAACGACGCUGGGGUAGCAGGUAGAACGGCGGAGAUAGCUUAGCGAGUGGGGUGGCGGCUGUCUGUGUGGGAGACGGAGGGGCAGUGGGUGCUCGGUGGUGCUGUGACUGUGAUGGAUGACGACAGGGGUGAAGUGACUCGCGGCGGAGAGGAGUGCCGAUUGCGGCGGCGAGGUUUUAGGGUAUCGACGAACUCCGACAACCCGUGAUAACACCAGAUCUUUGAAACAUUAAGGUUGCAAUGCCUGUUGGAAAGUAUACUACAUCGAGCAUGAAAUUCAGGCGCUGUACACAUGAGACGUCGUAAACGAGGAAAGUGGAGAUG
RNAcentral lists this long non-coding RNA (421 nucleotides) under Helianthus annuus (common sunflower). Its description in RNAcentral is "hypothetical non coding rna". The record is from RNAcentral. Lineage: Eukaryota; Viridiplantae; Streptophyta; Magnoliopsida; Asterales; Asteraceae.